CCAGGCAUGCGGCUGGGAGUGCUGCACCAGACCCCCGGGUGGUCAUGGCGGGAGCAGACGUGGAGGGCGAGAAGCCUACGCCCCUCCCGCACGGGUCAGCAGACCACCACGCAGAGAAACGGACAACCUGCGGACAGGCCCAGGCAGCGUGCAGCCAACCAGAGCACCCGGGAGGACACACGGCCCCGUCUCGGAGCGCCUGACUCGCACCGCGGCCCCUCUCUCCCCAGAGAGCACAUCCUUCCCGGGCAGAGCCCCGAGGACGUCCCCGCAGCUCCAGAGCACAGGCCAGCGUUUCGGGACAAGGAAUCGCAUGGCGACACCUUCCCGGUCCCGGAGGCAAUAGGAAAGCCCGUUCUCGCUCAAGGAGCCCCGGCAACCCAGCGGGCUCCCAGGGGCAGAGGACACAAGGCACACGGGCCCCUACCGUGGUCGUGGUCGUGGUCGUGGUCGUGGUCGUGGUCGUGCUCGGGGUCGGGGUCGUGGUCGUGGUCGUGGUCGUGGUCGUGGUCGUGGUCGUGGUCGUGGUCGUGGUCAGCCUCGGUGCUGGGAGUCAUGGUUGGGAGCGGCACGUCCGGAACAGGUUCCCGGGUGCCGGGCUCGGCGUCUGCGGAAGAAGAAGAGACAUCACACACUUGGCCUGAGUGAGGGUCUUUGCCGACAACACACCUGCCUCCGCCUAGGAAACCAGGCAGAGAAAUGUUCUCCCGGCCCCACACCUCCCGACGCCUCAUGUGGGUGGGUGCCUAGGUCAGUGCGGAGACAGCAUGGGCGCCUGCCUGCCUAGGCCACAAAGAAUCCCGACCAAGGGAAACUGGUGGCACCGGGGCCAGGGCGAGGGCCCGCCAUCCCCCCUUGUGCGUUGGGCCGCGCAAGGCCUUGGUGCCACCCCACCCUCCAAGUGGGUUCCCCUCCUUGGCCAGGGCUGGCGGGCUAAGAGCGGCCCUUCCCUUCCACACGGCAAGGCGACGAGGAAGGGGAAGUGAAAGGAUCCAGGAACCAGGCAAGGGCCACCUCCGGGUUCCAGGGGGAGCCAAGAAAGAGCCUGACGGCACCCAGCCAGCCCCCUGUCUCAGGGGAGGGGCCUGGUGGGCACACCUCGAGCAAUCCUCUGGGCCCUCCAGGACGGCAACUGAGCACCGUGUCCGGCACGGGCUCAGUCCAGCCAGGCCCCGCUGGACGGCUCCCCGCACGGGGGCGAGAGGGGAGAAAAGCGGACGGAGCAACCGCGCCCUCUCUCAUCUGCGCCCACUCAGGGCACGGAGGACAGACGGGCCCGCGUGGCUGGCUCCACACACCAGCCCGGGUCUGGUCUGGGCCACGAGCGCACGACUGGGAACUGGCCCAUCCAGGACACUGGGUCAGAUUCUCCUGGUGGCCGCCGGACUACACGGCAGACAACUCCCCAGCUGCCUGGGGGCACGGCACGGGUCCAGAACACGCUCGUGCCAGCGUCAGAGGGCACAUCGAGGACUUGUCCUCAAGACAGCGGCCACGCCUCCUUGACGCUGUCCCGGAAGCUUGGAAGACCCAGCCAACGGCCAAAAGAAAGC
This is a long non-coding RNA of Oryctolagus cuniculus (rabbit), 1553 nucleotides long. Lineage: Eukaryota; Metazoa; Chordata; Mammalia; Lagomorpha; Leporidae. The record is from Ensembl.